UCCUUCACGCGUUCUGCAGGAAAAAGAGGGGGAGGUAUGCGAACAAGAGGAGGGACAGAGGUGAGAGAGAGGACAGGGCGAGCGUCGUGUGAGACGUUUGGUCGGGGGGCAGGCCGGCAGCAGCAGCUGGCACGGCAGCAGGCCGUGCGCGCCGGUGCUAAAAAUUGUGAGAGUGGGUUCGUUUUUUGGGGCUGGAGAAAGAGAUGUUCAAGGGGGAACUCUUCGGUGAGAGUCCGAGAGAGAGAUGGUAAACGGAGAGUGAAAGGUCCAAGCGACUGAGAGAGCAAGAGAGGGCGCCUCGGCCCUUCCCGGCGACGUCCUCAAGCCGAACAGGUCCAUCAAGUCUCAGAGUCCGGAUUGGGUCAGUGGGGUCGCCAGAGUUUGGGGACCAAUCACUUGUUCGCAACCGCGUAGGUCGGCAUCGGCGGUUGGUGUUGAGGCGAAAGAACUUUAUGGUCGCGACAUGGUGGAAACAAAGUGAUACAAGAAAAGGAAUGCACUAGAAGCGAUGGGAAGUGAUGAAAGCCAAGAAAGACGAAGAAGGAUUAGGCUUCAAAGACUUGCAAAUCUUUAACGAGGCUAUGUUAGGAAAACAAACUUGGAGGCUAUCUCAAAAUCCUUUGGCUCUUUGGAGUUGGGUUCUUAAAGGCAUAUAUUUUCCGGAUGGAGAUUUUCCGAAAGCCAAAAAAGGACAUUGUUUGUCUUAGGGUUGGCAAAGCAUCCUAGUUGGAAGGGAAACCAUUGAACCGGAUGUUAAAUGGCUGGUGGGAGAUGGAAAGUCAAUAAAGAUAUGUGAGGAUAAAUGACUAACUUUGGGUUUGAUCAGGGGUCCCACAAUCAAGUACGAUCCAGACAAAGUAGCAUAUCUUAUUAACGAAGGAACAAAGGAAUGGAAAGAACUAACUUUGCAGAUAAUGUUUGCAAAGGAUGUCGUCAAAGAAAUACUAGCUUUUCGCAUCAGUCAUAACCCCACGGCCAAUGUUCUAUGUUGGACAACAAACAAAACCAGAGAUUACAUAGUUCAAAGCAGUUACAACAAUCAGCAUUCCAAGUCUAACAAGCUAGAUCUAUCCAAGGCAUCAACCUCAUACCAGCCUCCUUGACUAUUAUGGACAAAAAUAUGGAACCUCGUGUUCCCCCAAAGUGCGAAUGGACGCCUCCCAUAUCCUCCACCCUGCUUUCUUGCUCAUCCAGAGCUCCUCAUCCUCCUCCACUUCUAGCCGUGACAUCGAGUGGAGUAGCUAUCCAAACCAGAGCAGCAAAUCAGUGGAAAACGCCGUUCCCGAUCCUUCCACUUCCCCUCCACAAUUAUACAAAAACAAACCCCACAAUUACGAGAAUGAGACGCACCUUCCUUGACUGCAGAGAGGAGACAGUGCUGUUGUUCCAGGAAGAGGAAGUCGCCACACAGCCACCGACCAUCGAACUCCUCAACCAGCACCAAAGCCUAGGCACAAGAGAGACUCCUGACCCCCCUACUUGGUUGGGCGAUUCUCCAAACGCUUGCUUGAGAAGUGCUACUGUGUCGUCACCGUCCAUUGCCGUUGUCUCUGUCUGAGAAUUGGUUGGUGUGGGAAAAGUUGAUGAAAGGGGAUGAAGAUUAGUGAAUAUCUAGCUGUGUCAGCGUGUUGUUAAUACUCUGCAACAAAGCCUAGAGAGUGCAGACUCGUACAUAAAAAUUUCGAUCCUUUUCCAUUUGUAGACAAAAACGAUCGGAAACCACCAUAAGAAAGGGAGAAGGGAAAAUCAAGAGCAGCACCAAGAAGUGGGAAGGGGGAGAGUGGAAGGGCGACACGCAUUGGAGGUGGAGGUGGAGGUGGUGCUUUAGAGAUCGGAUGUUGGAGAGGUGGGAGAGCCGAUGAUCGAAGGAGGACUAGGGUUGGCGGGAAUGGGACUGGAGCGGGGAGAAGCCGGAGGAGAGAAGAGAGAGAGAGGUACUUCGGCAUAAGGAGGAAGCAGGUCUGCUCGGCGGAGAUGAAGGAGACGUUGGCUUUCUCGGCCGGCCAACAAAUCCAGUGGAGCCACACAAAAAAAAAGGAAAAUUUUCCUUACCACAAAAUGAAAAUAUUUUCUGAAUCUUUUUCAAAUUUCAGCCAAACACCGAAUUAUAUUGACAUUUUUCUAAAAAAUGACUUCCUGAAAAAAAAAAAAAAUCGAAAUCGUCCCAUUUUCCACAACAUAAAGAAAGCCAUUGAAUAUAAGUAUUUUACCGACCAAAAAAAAGAAUAUAAGUAUUUUCUUAGGUUGGGAAAAAGGUCCCUAAAUUUUUUGUAUAUAUUUAAUUUAAUCCCCAAACUAUAUGAAAAUGUCAAAUAUUAUUAUUUCAUUAUUUAAAUUAAGGAAAUUUGCCAAUUGACUUCCAAUUGGUACAAUUUUUUUGUCGAAAUCCAAUAUGUUUGAACAAUGGACAAAAAAGCAUUACACAUGGAUUAUUCAAGUAAGAUAUUUUAACUCAAAUUAAAAUGAUAUUUUAAUUUUUUAAUGUAAAAAUGAUUAGUUGUGUUAUUUAAUGAAGUUGUUUAUUAUAUCUUGAUUUCAUGUUAAGUGGAUAAUUCACAUGCAAAGUUUUUUCCCCCUAAAAGUUGAGGGAUGGCAAUAUAGUUGGGUUAAAACUCAUGCAUUACAUUACACAAAUUAAAAAUUCAAGGACAAUAUUACAUAUUUGAUUAUAGUUUAUGUGACCAUUUAUAUAAUUAUCCCAUAUAAGUAUACUAAUAUUUUUUGGCCUAAGUGAAGGCCCAAGUAUAUAUAUGCUCGAACCAUCUACAAACCAUGCAUACAAGAGAAAGACAAAAUUGCACACAAGGAUUUACUGAUUAUCAAAUUCAAGAACAAACUAAUCUUCUUAUUUCAA
Eucalyptus grandis is the source of this 2854-nucleotide long non-coding RNA. RefSeq lists it as uncharacterized. The transcript has 3 exons. The record is from RefSeq and is a predicted model, not a curated record. NCBI's taxonomy places the organism in Eukaryota, Viridiplantae, Streptophyta, Magnoliopsida, Myrtales, Myrtaceae.